Molecule: transfer RNA, 69 nt
Filed under: Marmota monax (woodchuck)
Lineage: Eukaryota; Metazoa; Chordata; Mammalia; Rodentia; Sciuridae
Description: tRNA.Ala
Source: RNAcentral
GGUGGUGUAGCUUAGUGGUAGCACUCACCUAGCAUGUAAAAGGCCCUGGAUUAGAUCCCCAGCACCCCA